Molecule: ribosomal RNA, 253 nt
Filed under: uncultured bacterium
Lineage: Bacteria
Description: partial 16S ribosomal RNA
Rfam family: Bacterial small subunit ribosomal RNA
Source: RNAcentral
UACGUAGGGUGCAAGCGUUAAUCGGAAUUACUGGGCGUAAAGCGUGCGCAGGCGGCUUUGCAAGACAGAUGUGAAAUCCCCGGGCUUAACCUGGGAACUGCAUUUGUGACUGCAAGGCUGGAGUGCGGCAGAGGGGGAUGGAAUUCCGCGUGUAGCAGUGAAAUGCGUAGAUAUGCGGAGGAACGCCGAUGGCGAAGGCAAUCCCCUGGGCCUGCACUGACGCUCAUGCACGAAAGCGUGGGGAGCAAACAGG